AUUGGUGAUUAUGGAGAGGUGUUAAUGAGAUCGAUAGAAUAGAUACAUUUUGUGUAGUUGAGUUUCCUCAUGGGGACUUCUAGUAGCUAUGAUUAGCCCAUCUGUGCAAAUGAGUAGGGAAUGUAUGCCCUUUCAACAUAUGAGUCGAUAAAACUAUCUUAUCGGGUUUCGGGACUGAGGACCAUGAGGUUAAUAAAAGACUAACAAAACAGGUACUGGAGUUUAUAUAUUACUGAUUUGUUAGGUCGUAUAUUCGAGACAUCUACACGGUAUGGGACGUGUAGGUACAUAUGUCUUGGGUGUAUGGACUAAUUAGCCAGUAAUAGAGUGGAGGGAGUGCAUUAGCAUUUAUGCAUCGAUUUGUUGUUAUUUAUUUAAAGUAUUGUUUGAUAUGUGAUAACUUGAUUGUGCGACAUAGUUAAGUAUAACCUUAAAAGGUUAGGCCCUAUUGAGCGUAAGCUCACCCCUAUAGAAUUUUGUUUGGGUUUGUACAAGGCACGCCACGUCUUUCGAGAAGUCUAACAGUACGUUUAGCUAACGUGUACUAGAGUAUAGAAGAGUUACGGAAGAUUAGAAGUCAGAUAGAUCCGCAAGGCCUGGACGUUUUGUCUUUGUAAUUGGUUUUGUUAUUUGUAAACGUUAUUUGAAAUAUUUGAAAUUGUUUUAUUUUCUUUUACUUUUCCCGCUCACGCCUCGGGUUCGGCGUCAGGUGCUUGGAAACCACCGACACCGGGUCCGGGGUGUGACACUAGGGCCGCCAAGCGGCCGCCUUCACCCGCAUAGGGUCGCCUUGACCCACCUUGGGCCGUCUUGACCCUAAUUGAGCCGCCUUGACCCGCCAAGAGGCCGCCUUCACUCGCCAAGGGGCUGCCUUGGCCCACCGAAAGGCCGCCUUCACCCGUCUAAUGUCGCCAAGGGGUCUCCUUAACCUGCUAAUGGUCUACCUUGACCCUCCUAGACCUGCGUAGGGCCGCUUUAACCCUCCUAGGCCGGUCUAGGGCCGCCAAGGGGCCGCCUUGACCCGCCUUGAGGCGCCAUAGGCCGUCUUGACCCGUCUUGGUCCGCCUUAACCUGUCUAGGACCCCCUUGACCCUUCUAGGCCCGCCUAGGGCAGUCAAGGGGUUGCCAUGACCCUCCUAGGGUUGCCAAUUUGCUGUCUAGGGACGCUAAGCGGCCGCCUUGACCCGCUUUGACAUGUCUUGGGCCAUCUUAAUCCUCCUUGACCCGCCUUGAUCCGUCUUGAACCGCCUUGGUCAGCCUUAAUCCGUCUUGACCCGCCAAGAGGCCACCUUGACUCGUCUCGUCUAGGGCCACCAAGAGACCGCCUUGACCCGGUUAGGAUCGCCUUCACAUGUCUAAUGCCGCUAAGGGGUCGCCUUGACUUGGUAAUGGGCUACCUUGAGCCUCCUAGACCUGCUUAGGGCCGCCUUGACCCUCGUAGACCUGCCUAGGGCCGCCUUAACUCGCUUUGAACCGCUAUGGGCUGCCUUGACCCGCCUUGGGCAGUCUUGACCCUCCUAUGGCCGCCAAGAGGCCACCUUGACCCAUCUACGGACACAAAGGGGCUGCCUUGACCCGGCUAGGGCUGCCUUGACCGGGCAAAAGGGUCGCCUUGACCCGUCUAAUGCCGGUAAGGGGUCAAGGUCUAAUGUCGGUAAGGGGUCGCCUUGACCUGCUAAUGGGCCACCUAGACCUGCCUAGGGCCGCCUUGACCCUCCUAGGCCCGCCUAAGGACACCAAGGGGUUGCCUUGACCCGCUUUGAACAGUCUUGACCCUCCUAGGCCCGCUUAGGGACGCCAAGGGGUCGUCUUGACCCGCUUUGAACAGUCUUGACCCUCAUAGGGCCGCCUAGGGAGACAAAGGGGUCACCUUGACCCGCUUUGAACAAUCUUGACCUUCCUAGGGCCACCAAGGGGCCGCCAUGACCCAUCUAAGGCCACCAAGGGGCCACCUUCACCUAUCUAAGGCCACCUAGGGGCCGCCUUGACCAGCCUUGACCCUCAUAGGCCCAUCUAGGGACGCCAAGGGGCCGCCUUGACCCGCUUUAACUUGCCUUAACCCGCUUUGACCCGCCAAGGGGCAGCCUUGACCCUCCUAGACCCACCUUGGGGCGCCUUGACCCUCCUAGCCCCUCCUGGGGCCGCCUUAACCCUCCUAUGCCCUUCCUAAGAUGCCGCCAUGACCCGCCAAGGGGGCUGCCUUGACCCUCCUAGACCUUCCUUGGCCCACCUUAAUCCGCCUUGACCCGCGAAGAGGCUGCCUUGAUUUGUCUAGGGCCGCUAAGGGGUCGCCAUGACCCAUCUAAGACUACCUCGGGGCCGUCUUGAUUCGGCUAGGACUGCCAAGGGGCCGCGUUCACUAGUCUAAGGCGGCCAAGUGGUCACCUUAACCCGCCAAAAGGCCGCCUUGACUUGUUAAUGGGCUACCUUAACCCUCAUAGACCUGCCUAAGGCAGCUUUGACCCACCUUAAGCCGCCUUGGUCCGCUUUGGCCUGCCUUAAUCCGCCUUGACCUGCCAAGAGGUCGCCUUGAUUCAUUUAGGGCCACCAAGGGGCCGCCUUGACUUGGUUAGGGCUGCCAAAGGGCCGCCUUCACCCGUCUAAUGUUGCAAAGUGCUCGCCUUAACUUCCUAAUGGGCUACCUUGACCCUCCUACCUAGGGCCGCCUUGACCCUCCUAGGCCCAUCUAGGGCCGCCAAGGGGCUGUCUUGACCCGCUUUAAACCGCCUUGGGCAGCCUUGAGCCGCCUUGACACUCCUAAGGCUGCCAAGAGGCCGCCUUGACCCGGAUAGGGCCGCCAAGGGGUCGCGUUCACCUGUCUACGGCCGCCAAGUGGCCUCCUUAACCCGCCAAAGGGUUGCCUUGACCUGCUAAUGGGCUACCUUGAUCCUCCUAGACCUGCCUAGGGUCACCUUGACCCUAUUAGGCCCGUCUAGGGCUGCCAAGGGGCCGCCUUGACCCGCUUUGACCUGCCUUGAGCCGCCUUAACCCGUCUUGGUCCGCCUUGGCCCGCGUUAAUCCGCCUUGGCCCGCGUUAAUCCGCCUUGACCCGCUAAGAGGCCGCCUUGAUUCGUCUAAGGCCACCAAGGGGCCGCCUUGACCCGGUUAGGGCCACUAAAGGGCCGCCUUCACCCGUCUAAAGCCGCAAAGAGGUCUCCUUGACUUGCUAAUGGGCUACCUUAACCCUCCUAAACUUGCCUAGGGCCGCCUUGACCUUCCUAGGCCCGUCUAGGGCUGCCAAGGGGCCGUCUUGACUUGCUCUGACCCGCCUUUACCCUCCUUGUCCCGCUUUGAACCGCCUUAGGCCGCCUUGACCCGCCUUGGGCCACCUUGACCCUCCUAGGGCCGUCAAUGGGCCGCCUUGACCCAUCUAGGGACACCAAGGAGCCACCUUGACCCGGGUAGGGCUGCUAAUUGGCCGCAUUCACCCGUCUAAGGCCGCCAAGUGGCCGCCUUGACCCUACUAAGGUCUUUUAGUGCCGCCAAGGGGAUUCCAUGACUCGCCAAAGGGUCGUCAUGACCCGUCUAGGGCAGCCAAGAGGCCGCCUUGACCCAUCUAAGACCACCUAGGGGCCGCCUUGACCCGUUUUGAACCGACUUGAGACACCUUGGGCCGGCUUAUCCCGCCUUAACCCACCUUGAACCGCCUUGACCCUUGUACGGUCGGCUUAUCCAGUCUUGACCUGUUUUGACCCGCUUUGAACCGCCUUGAGGCACCUUGGGCCGGCUUAUCCCUCCUUAACCCACCUUGAACCGCUUUGACCCUUGUAGGGUCGGCUUAUCCAGUCUUAACCCGUUUUGACCCGCUUUGAACCGCCUUGAGGCACCUUGGGCCGGCUUAUCUCGCCUUAACCCACCUUGAACCGCCUUGACUUAUCUAGGGACACCAAGGGGCCGCCUUGACCCGGCUAGGACCGCCAAGGGGCCACGUUCACCUGUCUAAGGCCGUCAAGUGGCCUCCUUGACCUGCUAAUGGGCUACCUUGACCCUAUUAGACAUGCUAAUGGGCUACCUUGACCCGCUUUGACCCACCUUGAGCCGCCUUGGCCGUCUUGACCUGUUUUGGCCCACCUAGAGCCGCCUUGGUCCGCCUUAAUCCGCCUUGACCCGCUAAAGGGCAGCCUUGACCCGGUUAAGGCCGCCAAAUGGCUGCCUUCACUCAUCUAAUGCCACCAAGGGUCGCCUUGACCUGCUAAUGGGCUACCUUGACCUUCCUAAACCUGCCUAGGGACGCCUUGACCCUCCUAGGCCAGUCUAGGGUCGCUAAGGGGCCGCCUUGACCCACUUUGAGCCUCCUUAAGGCGCCUUGACUCGUCUUGACCCUCUUAGACCCGCCUAGGGCAAUCAAGGGGUCGCCAUGAGCCUCCUAGGGUUGCCAAUGGGUUGUCUAGAGCCGCUAAAAGGUUGCCUUGACCCGCAUAGGGUCGCCUUGACCUGCCUUGGCCCGCCUUGGGUUGUCUUCACCCGCCUUAACCCAUCUUGAGCCGCCUUAGGCCAUCUUGACCUGGCUUGACCUGCAUUGGUCCGCCUUUCCUCGCCUUAAUCUGCCUUGACCCGCCAAGAGGCCGCCUUAACUAGUCUAGGGCCACCAAGAGACCGCCUUGACCCGGUUAGGGCCGUAAAAAAGCCGUCUUCACCCGUCUAAUGCUGCCAUGGGGUCGGCUUGACCUGCUAAUGGGUUAUCUUGACCCUCCUAGGCCCGUCUAGGGCUGCCUUGACCCUCUUAGAUCGGCUAAUGGGCUGCAUUAACCGUCCUAGGCCCGUUUAAGGUCGCCUUGACCCGCUUUGACCCACCUUGAGCCGCCUUGGUCCGCCUUGGCCACCUUGACCCGUCUGGGCCCACCAUGAGCCACCUUGGUCUGUCUUGACCCGUCUUAAUCCGUCUUGACCCUCCAAGGGGCUGCCUUGACCCGGUUAAGGCUGCCAAAUAGCCGCCUUCACUCAUCUAAUGCCGCCAAGGGUCGCCUUCACCUGCCAAGGGCACGCCUUCACCUGCUAAGGGGCUGCCUUAACCAUUCUUGAGCCUCCUAUGCCAUCCUAGGGCCGCUAAGGAGCCGCCAUGACUCAUCAAAGGGUUGUCAUGACCCUUCUAGAGCAGCCAAGGGGCUGCCUUGAGCCAUCUAAGGCCGCCUAAGGGCCGCCUUGACCUGGCUAGGGUCGCUAAGGGGCCGUGGUCACCCGUUUAAGGCCGUCAAGUGGCCGUCUUGACUCACCAAGGGUCCGCCUUGACCUGCUAAUGGGCUACCUUGACCCUCUUUGACCUGCCUAGGGCCGCCUUAACCCUCCUAAGCCUGUAGAGGGCCGCCAAGGGGCCGUCUUGACCCACCUUGGGCCGUCUUAAUCCGCCUUGACCCGCCAAGAGGCCGCCUUAACUCAUAUAGGGUCACCAAGGGACCGCCUUGAACCGGUUAGGACCGCCAAUGGGCCGCCUUCACCUGUCUAAUGCCGCAAAGGGGUCGCCUUAACUUCCUAAUGGGCUACCUUGACCCGCUUUAGUCCGCCUUGACCCGGCUAGGGUCGCCAAAGGGCCGCGUUCACCCUUCUAAGACAGCCAAAUGGCUGCCUUGACCCUCCUAAACACGCCUAAAGCCGCCUUGACCCUUCUAGGGCCGCCAAGGGGCUGCCAUGACUGGCCAAGGGGUCGUCAUGACAUGUCUAGGGCCGUUAAAGGGCCGCGUUCACCCGUCUAAGGCCGCCAAGUGGCCACCUUGCUUGACCCGCCUAGGGUCUCCUUGACCCUCCUAGACCCGCCUAGGGCUGCUAAUUGGCCGUCUUGACCCACCGAGGGUCGCCAAGGGCCACUUUGACCCGUCAUGACCUGUCAAAGGACUGCCUUAACCUUCCUACACCCACAUAGGGACCACCUAGACCUGCUUAGGGGCCGCCUAAACCCGUCAAGGGGAUGUCGAGACACGUCUAGGGCCACCGAGGGGGAGUUUUGACCCGUCUUGGUUCGUCAAGAUCCGCCUGGACCUGCUUAAGACACGCGUAAGGACCGCCAAGACCUGUUUAGGGGCCGCCGAGACCCGCCAAGGGGCCACCAAGACACGUCUUGUGCUGCCAAGGGAGCUCCUUGACUCGCCUAGAGCCAUCAAGAUCCGCCUAAACCUGCAUAAGACAUGCGUAUGGAUCUCUUAGACCCGCUGAAGGGUCGCCUAGACCCUGCUAGACUCUCCUAGACCCGCCUAGUCCCUGCUAGACACACGUAGGGAUCACCUAGACCCGCUUAGGGGCCGUCUAGACCCACCAAGGGGCUGCUGAGACACGUCUAGGGCUGCCAAGGGGUGCCUUGACCCGCCUAGGGUCGCCAAGACCCACCUAGACUUGCUUAGGACCCGCCAAGGGCCGCUAAGGGGCGAUCUUGACCCGCUAAGGGCCGCUUUAAUUUGCUAAGGGACCACCUUAACCCACCUAGACCAGCUUAGGGGACCGCCUAGACCCGCCUAAGGACCUUUAAGACCCAUUUAGGGGCCGCCUAGACCCGCUAAGGGAGCGCCUAGAGCCAUCAAGACUCGCCUAGACCAGCUUAAGACUUGCAUGGGGACCUCCUAGACCCAUCUAGAUCCUCUUAGACCCGUCUAGACCUUCUUAGACCCACGUAAGGACCAUCUANNNNNNNNNNNNNNNNNNNNACGCUUAGGGGCCGCCUAGACCCGCCAAGGUGCUGUUGAGACCGUUUAGAGCUGCCAAAAGGGCGCUUUAACCCGUCUAGAGUCGUCAAGACCCGCCCAGACUUGCUUAGAACUAGCCAAGGGCAACCAAGGGCCGCUCAGGGGCGGUCUUGACCCAUCGAGGGCCGCCAAGAGGACGCUUUAACCUGCCAAAAGACCGCCUUGACCCACCUAGACCUGUUUAGGGGAUGCCUAGACCUGCCAAGGGGCUGCCAAGACAUGUCUAGGGUUGCAAGGGGCUAUCGAGACCCAUGUAGGGCCGCCAACUGGGCACCUUGACCCGCCAAGGGCCAUUAAUACAUGACUAGACAUGCUUAGGACCCGCGUAAGGACCAUCUAGACCCGCUUAAGGACCGUCUAGAUCUGCUAAGGGCCUGUCGAGAUACAUCUAAGGCCGCCAAGGGGGCGCCUUGACCCGCCUAAGGCCGUCAAGAUCAUCAUGAAUCGAUCCACUGCCUUGCGUACAGAGGGAAAAUAAGAUCAAGUGAUUCACGUAGGGUAACACCCUCAGUACACAUUUCUUGCUCAUUCAUCAUCAUUUAUGAAGUCCUCAUAAAUGAUUUUUUUUUUUAAGUUAACAUAUUUCAUCUAUUAAAAAUAAAAGGAUUAAUUUCAGUUUACCCCCAUCAACUUAGGUCGAUUAUCAUGUUAGUCAUUCUUCUUUCAAUUUCAUCAAAAACACCCCUCAACUCCUAAUUUUCAUCAGCCGCGUAUGUCCAAACCUCCAAUCUCUGUCAAGUGAUGACUUGAUAUCAAGAAGAAAGAAAAAAGGAAAAAUAGACAAAUUGCAUUCAAUCUCACCAAAAUCACCAAGGUUAGAGGGUUGUGAUGGGAACAAAGAUGUGUAUCAAUAUGGGGAGAAAAUGGUUCGAAAGGUAACUUUCAGAAUUUGCCUUUCUUCUUGAUAUCAAGUCAUCACUUGACAAAAGAAUUGGAUGGAGAUUGGAGGUUUGGACAUGCGCGACUGAUGAAAAUUAGGAGUUGAGGGGUGUUUUUGAUGAAAUUGAAAGAAGAAUGACUAACAUGAUGAUCGACCUAAAAUUGAUGGGGUAAACUGAAAUUAGUCCAAAAUAAAAGAUACAUCAUGAAUCGAUCCACUGUUUUGCGUACAAAUGGCAAAUAAGAUCAAGUCAUGAUUCAUGUUGGGUAACCCUCAUUACACAUUUCUCGCUCAUUCAUCAUCAUACCUAUAAUCAACAAGACUAUGGACAAUUAAUCUAAUGAAAAGGGAAACAACAACACCUGUAAUCUAUGUUCCACAUAUUAUAGGCCAUUAUUCUAAACAUAAAAACAUAAUUAAAGGCAAUUGAGACCCAAAGCCCAGAACAAGUAUCCAAGGCCCAAAGAAAAGACUUAAGCUUACUGAAGUCCACAAGCUCAAGCCUAAUUUAUAAGGGCACUCAAGAUGGGCACUCUAUCCUCCGCCAUCUGCCACCACCGUCGUUGCCUCCGACGGGUGGCCUUGGCCCCAUCAUCUGCCAUCACCGGGCCCAAACCGGCAAGGCAGCAACCAGCCUUGACCUCGCCCAAAACCAGCAACCAGCCUUGACUCGCAGCAAUCGUCGUUGCAAACUACCAAGAGCCGCUCAAAGCCGCCUCAAGGUCGACCCCGACAACCUAUAGACAUAACAAGGCUGGAGUUCAAACCACUGAUCUAAUCCGAUCUGAAAUCACUCACGAUCGAACUCCGUUUGUCGACCGAAUGACCUGAUCCUUGCAACAAACAAGAAGCCGCCGCUACUACCGUCUUCAACCUCAAAGAUCAGAGCCGUCACCACUUGUAAAGUCGACGUCGUCUAGUCGCCCAGCCACCGACAGACCCUAAACCAAACUCACGAUCUAAGGCUUACCUCCACGCAGCUGCAGCCGCUUAGAAGCUUGCCCACGCCGCUAAAUCGUGAUCCGGGUCACUCACCACCAGCCAAGAAGCUUAGCCGUCUAGAGCCACCUUGGGCCAUCUUGACCUGUCUUAACCUACCUUGAGCACCAUUGGUCCGCCUUUGCCCGCCUUAAUCUGUCUUGACCCGCCAAGAGGCCGCCUUAACUCGUCUAGGGCCGCAAAAGGGCCACCUUGACCCAGUUAGACCCGGUUAGGGCCGCAAAAAAGCCGCCUUCACCCGUCUAAUGCCGCCAUGGGGUCACCUUGACCUGCUAAUGGCCUACCUUGACCCACUUUCAACCCUCUUAGGCCGCCUUGACCCUCCUACGGCCGCCAAGGGGGCGCCCUGACCUGGCUAGGGCCGCUAAGGGGCCGCAUUCACUCGUCUAAGGCCGUCAAGUGGCCGUCUUGACUCGCCAAGGGGCCGUCUUGACUCGCCAAGGGGCCGCCUUGACCCUCCUAGAGCCGCCUUGACUCUCUUAGGCCCUCAUAGGCUCGCCUAGGGCCACCAAAGGGCCGCCAUGACUCGUCUAGGGCCGCCAAGGGGUCGCCUUAACAAGCUAAUGGGCUACCUUAGCCCUCCUAGACCUGCCUAGGGCCGCCUUUACCCUCAUAGGCCCGUCUAGGGCCAACUUGGCCCGCCUUAAGCCGUUUUGACCUGCCUAGGACCACCUUGACUUGCCUAGUGACGCCAAGCGGCCGCCUUGACUCGCAUAGGGUCGCCUUGACCCUUAUUAACCCAUCUAGGGCCGAGUUGACCCGCCUUAACCCAUCUAGGGUCUUCUUGGGCCGCCUUGACCCUCUUAGGCCUGCCCGCCUAGGUAGUCAAGGGGUUGCCAUGACCCUCCUAGGGUUGCCAAUAGGUUGUCUAGGGCCGCCUUGACCCGCAUUAAUCUGCCUUGACCCGCUUUAAACCGCGUUGCCGCCUUGACCCACCCUGGGCCACCAAGAAGUCGCCUUGACCCAUAUGGAGACACCAAAGAGCUGCCUUAACCCGGCUAGGGCCGCCGAAGGGCCGUGUUCACCAGUCUAAAGCCACCAAGUGGCCGCCUUGACCCGCCAAGGGACUGCCUUGACCCACCUAGACCCGCUUAGGGCCGCCAAGGGGGCUGCCUUGACCCUCCUAGGGCCGCUAAGUGGCCGCCUUGACCCACUUUGACCCUCCUUAAUCCGUCUUGAACCUCCUUGAGGCAACUUGGGCUGCCUUGACCCGCCUUGGGCCGCCAAGGGGGCUGCCUUGCCCCUCCUAGGGCCGCUCAGUGGCCGCCUUGACCCGCCUUGAACCUCCUUGCGGUAACUUGGGCUGCCUUGACCUGUCUUAACCCGCCUUGGGCCGCCAAGAGGCCACCUUGACCCAUCUAGGGACACCAAGGAACCGCCUUGACCCAGCUAGGGCCACCAAGGGGCCGCGUUCACCCGUCUAAGGCCGCCUUAACCCUUCUAAGGCCGUCAUAACUCGCCAAGGGGUCGCCAUGACCCGUCUAAGGCUGCCAAGGGGCCGCGUUCACCCUUCUAAGGUCGCCAAGUGGCCUCUUUGACCCGCCAAGGGGGCUGUCUUGACCCACCUAAACCCUCCUAGGCUCUCAUAUGGCUACCAAGGGGCCGUCAUGACUCGCCAAAGAGCCGCCUUGACCCAUCUUAAGCUACAUAGGGGCCGUCUUGACCCUCCUAGGCUCUCAUAUGGCCACCAAGGGGCCGUCAUGACUCGCCAAAGAGUCGCCUUGACCCAUCUUAGGCUACAUAGGGGCCGUCUUGACCCUCCUAGGGCCGCUAAGGGGCCGCCUUUACCUGCUUUGACUCGCCUAAACCUGCCUUGACCCACUUUGAACCGUCUUGAGGCACCUUUGGCCGCCUUGACCCUCCUUGGGCCGCUAAGAGGCCGCCUUAACCCAUCUAGGGACACAAAGGAGCUGCCUUAACCCGGCUAGGGCGGCCAAGGGGCCACGUUCACUCGUCUAAGGCCGCCAAAUGGUCGCCUUGACCCUGCUAGGCCCACCUAGGGCCGCCAAGGGACGCCUUGACCUGCCUACACCUAAGGCCGCCAAGAGGUUGCCUUGACCAGUCUAGGGCCACCAAGAGGCCGCCUUCACCCGACUAAGGCUGCCAAGGGGCCGCCUUCACCCGCUAAGGGGAUGCCUUGACCAUUCUAGACCCGCCCUAGGGCCGCCUUGACCCUCCUAGGCACGCCUAGGGCCACCAAGGGGCCGCCUUGACCCGCCUUGACCCGUCUUAGCCCGCCUUGACCCGCUUUGAACCGCCUUGAGGCGCCUUAGGCUGCCUUGACCCACCUUGACCCUCCUAGGGCCGCCAUGGGACAGCCUUGACCUGGCUAUGGCCGCCAAGAGGUCGCAUUCACCUGUUUAAGGCCGCCUUGACCCGGCUUGGCCCGCUUUGAACCGCCUUGAGGCGCCUUUGGCUGCCUUGACCCUCUUAGGGCCGCCUUGACCUGGCUAGGUUCGCUAAGGGGCCGUGUUCACCCGUCUAAGGCCGCCAAGUGGUCGUCUUGACCCGCCAAGGGGCCGCCUUGACUUGCUAAUGGGCUACCUUGACCUUCCUAAACCUGCUUAGGGCUACCUUAACCUUCCUAGGCCCGUCUAGGGCUGCCAAGGGGCCGCCUUGACCCGCUUUGAACCCCUUUGACCCGCUUUGAACCGCCUUGAGCCGCCUUUGCCAGUCUCAAUCUGCCUUGACCCGCCAAGAGGUCGCCUUGACUUAUCUAGGACCACCAAGGGGCCGCCUUGACCUGGUUAGGGCAGCCAAUGGGCCGUCUUCACCCGUCUAAUGUCAUAAAAGGGUCGCCUUGACCUGCUAAUGGGUUAUCUUGACCCUCCUAGACCUGCCUAAGGCCGCUUUGACCCGUUUUGACCCGUCUUCACCUGUUUUGAACUGCUUUGGGCCGCCUUGACCCGACUAGGGCCGCCAAUGGGCAGUGUUCACUCGUCUAAGGCCGCCAAGUGGCCGCCUUGACCCGCCAAGGGGGCUGCCUUGACCCUCCUAGACCCACCUAAAGCCUCAUUGACCCUCCUAGACCCUCCUAGGGCCACCAAGGGGAUGCUCUGACUCAUCAAGGGGUCGCCAUGACCCGUUAAGAGGUCGCGUUCACCCGUCUUAGGCCGCCAAGUGGCCGCCUUGACCCGCCUAGAGCCGUCUUGACCCUCCUAGACCCGCCUAGGGCCGCUAAUUGGCCGCCUUGACCCAUCGAGGGCCGCCAAUGUAAUACCCCGAUAAUUUUAAAAGUCAAUUAAUGUAGAAUUAAAUUCAGUUUACCCCCAUGAGGUUUGAGAGUAACUUCAUGUUAAUCCCUAUACUUUCAAUUUCAUCAGUUUACCCCUCAACUUUUGAAUUUUCCUCAAGCGUGACCAAUGUCCUAUAUUCUGUCCAAAUCGGACGUUAACUGCUAAUAAUUUUAACCUUAACUAUGAAACCCGUAUCUAGAAUUAAGGGUUAAUUCAAACAGAAUAUGAGAAUUUGGGCACUGCAGACAAAAAUUAAAGAGUUCAAGGGGUAAACUGAUGAAAUUAAAGGUGUAGGGACUAACAUGAAGUCACCCCUAAACCACAAGGGGGUAAACUGAAUUUAAUUCAUUAAUGUAUAUACAUAUAUAUCAUUCAUGCUAAGAUGUGAGUUAAUUAAAAUAUUCUUGUAAUACGAGAAUAUUUAUUUGGGACUCUUCCUGUGCCGAAACAUAUGUGUAUAAUAGAUAUAUGCACAUAUACGGUAUACUUUCACAAUUAU
Molecule: long non-coding RNA, 12285 nt
Filed under: Fragaria vesca (wild strawberry)
Lineage: Eukaryota; Viridiplantae; Streptophyta; Magnoliopsida; Rosales; Rosaceae
Description: long non-coding RNA (FVES_LNC002771)
Source: RNAcentral